RNAcentral lists this transfer RNA (76 nucleotides) under Chloroflexota bacterium. RNAcentral's name for it is "tRNA-Ile". It matches the Rfam family "tRNA". Rfam says of the family: Transfer RNA (tRNA) molecules are approximately 80 nucleotides in length. Their secondary structure includes four short double-helical elements and three loops (D, anti-codon, and T loops). The record is from RNAcentral. RNAcentral also lists the same sequence under 2 other names. Lineage: Bacteria; Bacillati; Chloroflexota.
GGGCGGGUAGCUCAGGGGUUAGAGCACUACUCUGAUAAAGUAGGGGUCGAAGGUUCAAAUCCUUCUCCGCCCACCA